GGUUAUUGGUCAUCGAACAGAUGAGAAUUUCUCUGAAAGAGAAUGCAUGUUAUUUGAAGCUGAAAUAAUG
This 70-nucleotide small nucleolar RNA is filed under the name Ochotona princeps (American pika). RNAcentral's name for it is "Small nucleolar RNA SNORD79 (ENSOPRG00000023800.1)". The record is from RNAcentral. Lineage: Eukaryota; Metazoa; Chordata; Mammalia; Lagomorpha; Ochotonidae.